Long non-coding RNA from Exaiptasia diaphana, 187 nucleotides. RefSeq lists it as uncharacterized. The transcript has 3 exons. NCBI's taxonomy places the organism in Eukaryota, Metazoa, Cnidaria, Anthozoa, Actiniaria, Aiptasiidae. The record is from RefSeq and is a predicted model, not a curated record.
UUGUACACAGGCAUUUGGCAAUGCAAAGACCAAUAGAAAUGAUAAUUCCAGUAGAUUUGGCAAGUACAUGGAUAUUCAAUUUGACUUCAAGGGAGCACCAUUUGGAGGUCACAUCUUGAACUACCUUCUUGAGAAAUGCAGAGUUGUCCAUCAAGCCAAAGGUGAAAGGAAUUUCCACAUCUUUUAU